GUUGUUGCCUUUGCCAGUCAAGAGAAAUGGUCUCCUUUGGGUUGUGGGGUGUGUGAUGGUCUAGAAAGNCCAGGGGACCGUGCCCGGUCCUCCCGCUGGGUGCCCGAGCUGCGGCAGCAUCACGCAGAGGCAGCGCUGCUGUCACCAGCGCUCCCGGCUCCCAGGUUUGCCCGGCGCGGGAUCAUCCCCCGGAGAGCCCCGCAUCCCGGCGGCAGCACCGAGCCUCGGCGAUGCGCUAUUUCAUUCCUGGAAAGCUCCAGCUCCAGAGAUAAAAUCUAAGUGGAUUCAGAGAACCUGAAAGGAUCGCAUGCUUCAUGGCUUUCCCCUCAGUAAUGUGGGAGAUAAACAGGAUGUAAUAAAGGAUCUGUCCCUCCUUGGAAAAGGGCCA
Molecule: long non-coding RNA, 388 nt
Filed under: Zonotrichia albicollis (white-throated sparrow)
Lineage: Eukaryota; Metazoa; Chordata; Aves; Passeriformes; Passerellidae
Description: lncRNA (ENSZALG00000003062.1)
Source: RNAcentral